Molecule: long non-coding RNA, 411 nt
Filed under: Phoenix dactylifera (date palm)
Lineage: Eukaryota; Viridiplantae; Streptophyta; Magnoliopsida; Arecales; Arecaceae
Description: long non-coding RNA (PDAC_LNC007662)
Source: RNAcentral
UUAGGGAUCAACCCUACGAUUGCGGAAUAUAAAGGAUAGUAGGAGAAAGAGGAACACGGCAAAAACAAUAGCAAACGCACAAGACACUCAAGUUUAUGUGGUUCGGAGUCUCUUGCUCCUACGUCCACAGCCGCAUAGAUCAAUAUUUCACUAUAUGAUCAAAGGAAGUUACAGAGAUUCAAGAGAAGAGAACAAACUCUCUUUCUCACAGCAAACAAUCUCUCUCAAGACGAGCAACACGUCGUCUUCCUGAUGCACACAAAGGAUCUACUUUUGGAACCUCUCGUUGAUGAGUUCUAGGGUUUCUCUAGGUUGCAACCUACCUCUCGUGUCCCUCAAGAAGUCUAUAUAUACCUCCCAAUCUCUUACUUUGAUUAGGGCUCAAAAAACCUUGGCUUGGAUCCGGUUCAU